This 178-nucleotide ribosomal RNA is filed under the name uncultured bacterium. Its description in RNAcentral is "partial 16S ribosomal RNA". It matches the Rfam family "Bacterial small subunit ribosomal RNA", at positions 1322 to 1500 of the family's 1533-position model. The record is from RNAcentral.
GAAGUCGGAAUUGCUAGUAAUGGCAGGUCAGCAUACUGCCGUGAAUACGUUCCCGGGCCUUGUACACACCGCCUGUCACACCAUGAGAGUUGGAGAUACCCGAAGCCUAUGAGCUAACUUUUAGAGGCAGUAGUCGAAGGUAGAAUCAAUGAUUGGGGUGAAGUCGUAACAAGGUAUC